Molecule: ribosomal RNA, 253 nt
Filed under: uncultured bacterium
Lineage: Bacteria
Description: partial 16S ribosomal RNA
Rfam family: Bacterial small subunit ribosomal RNA
Source: RNAcentral
UACGUAGGGUGCAGGCGUUAAUCGGAAUUACUGGGCGUAAAGCGUGCGCAGGCGGUUUCUUAAGUCAGAUGUGAAAGCCCCGGGCUUAACCUGGGAACUGCGUUUGAAACUGGGAGACUUGAAUGUGGCAGAGGGGGGUGGAAUUCCACGUGUAGCAGUGAAAUGCGUAGAUAUGUGGAGGAACACCGAUGGCGAAGGCAGCCCCCUGGGUUAACACUGACGCUCAUGCACGAAAGCGUGGGGAGCAAACAGG